CACCUUGAUGAAAUAUCGGCACUGGGCACCGACAAUUCUUGACGGACAAGCUCUUUUUGUGGCAGGCCUAGAAAACCUCGCCCACUGAUU
This 90-nucleotide small nucleolar RNA is filed under the name Paraphaeosphaeria sporulosa. RNAcentral describes it as "A. fumigatus snoRNA Afu_513". It matches the Rfam family "A. fumigatus snoRNA Afu_513". Lineage: Eukaryota; Fungi; Ascomycota; Dothideomycetes; Pleosporales; Didymosphaeriaceae. The record is from Rfam by way of RNAcentral.